GAUGGACCUCGCGGUGCAUUAGCUAGUUGGUGAGGUAACGGCUCACCAAGGCCGUGAUGCAUAGCCGACCUGAGAGGGUGAUCGGCCACAUUGGGACUGAGACACGGCCCAGACUCCUACGGGAGGCAGCAGUAGGGAAUCUUCCGCAAUGGGCGAAAGCCUGACGGAGCAACGCCGCGUGAGUGAAGAAGGAUUUCGGUUCGUAAAGCUCUGUUUUUAGGGAAGAAUGGAUAUGUAGUAACUAUACAUAUAAGAGACGGUAUCUAACCAGAAAGCCACGGCUAACUACGUGCCAGCAGCCGCGGUAAUACGUAGGUGGCAAGCGUUGUCCGGAAUUAUUGGGCGUAAAGCGCGCGCAGGUGGUUUAAUAAGUCUGAUGUGAAAGCCCUCUGGCUCAACCGUGGAGGGUCAUUGGAAACUGUUAAACUUGAGUGCAGGAGAGAAAAGUGGAAUUCAUAGUGUAGCGGUGAAAUGCGUAGAGAUUAGGAGGAACACCAGUGGGGAAGGCGGUUUUUUGGCCUGUAACUGACAUUGAGGUGGGAAAGCGUGGGGAGCAAACAGGAUUAGUUACCUUGGUAUUCCACCCCGUAAACGAUGAGUUGAUAAGUGUUGGUUUCAUAAGAGAUCAGUGCUGCAGCUCACGCAUUAAGCACUCCGCCUGGGGAGUACGACCGCAAGGUUGAAACUCAAAGGAAUUGACGGGGACCCGCACAAGCGGUGGAGCAUGUGGUUUAAUUUGAAGCAACGCGAAGAACCUUACCAAGUCUUGACAUACCGUGAGGACACAAGAGAGUGUGUUUUUGUGACCUAUGGUUAGACACAGAUACAGGUGGUGCAUGGUUGUCGUCAGCUAGUGUCGUGAGAUGUUGGGUUAAGUCCCGCCACGAGCGCAACCCUUAUAUGUAGUUGCCAGCAGUAAGAUGGGGACUCUAGAUCGCCUGCCAGUGAUAACAUGGACGGAAGCUGGGGAUGACGUCACAUCAUCACGCCCCUUACGAAUUGGGCUCCACACGUGCUACAAUGGAUAGGAACAAAGAGAAGCGAGCUCGCGAGAGUCAGCCACCCUCAUAAAGCUAUUGUCAGUUUGGACCGUAGUCUGCUCCUCGGGUGCAGCAAGCUGGAAUCUCUAGUAAUCGCGAAUCAGAAUGUGGCGGUGAAUACGUUCCCGGGUUGAGCACACACCGCCCUUCA
This 1191-nucleotide ribosomal RNA is filed under the name uncultured bacterium. Its description in RNAcentral is "bacterial SSU rRNA". It matches the Rfam family "Bacterial small subunit ribosomal RNA", at positions 223 to 1399 of the family's 1533-position model. The record is from RNAcentral.